This is an RNA transcript of Raphanus sativus (radish), 1120 nucleotides long. It is a transcript of the gene named B-box zinc finger protein 19, with no coding region annotated. The transcript has 7 exons. Lineage: Eukaryota; Viridiplantae; Streptophyta; Magnoliopsida; Brassicales; Brassicaceae. The record is from RefSeq and is a predicted model, not a curated record.
AUUUUUAUUAAUGACUAAAAAACAGUGAUUAAACAGUGUUAUUAAGUCUGUAAAACAGCGAGUAAAGGAUAAGUGAUAGUGAGGGCGCGUGGGAUUUGAUUCGUCUUUCCUUGUGGUGUCUCCUCCUCCAUCGUAGAAAAAGAUUUUAAAAAGGAGGGAGAGGAGGGCAUAAUAAUCUUUUUCUUUCUUUUCCCUUCUUCAUCUUCUUCUCACUUGAUUGAUUAGUACCAAACCCUUUAAUCAAUUAAUCUGAUUUAUACAUAGUCCCACUUUCAGUUGCAAUCUGGGGAGGUUCUGUAGUGAAGAAGGUGGAGUGAGAGAGAGAAAAAAAAAGGAAAGGGAUGAGGAUAUUGUGCGAUGCGUGCGAGAACGCAGCUGCUAUCGUCUUCUGCGCUGCCGAUGAAGCUGCCCUUUGCCGCGCCUGCGAUGAAAAAGUACAUAUGUGCAAUAAGCUAGCUAGUCGGCAUGUACGUGUAGGUUUAGCCGAACCAAGCAAUGCCCCCUGCUGCGAUAUUUGCGAGAAUGCUCCUGCCUUCUUUUACUGCGAGAUAGACGGUAGUUCGCUUUGUCUUCAAUGUGACAUGGUUGUACAUGUUGGUGGCAAGCGAACACACGGCCGUUUUCUUUUGCUCAGACAGAGAAUUGAGUUUCCAGGGGACAAGCCUAAAUCAAACAAUACGAGAGACAAUUUGCAAAACCAAAGACUCUCUGCAAAUGCAAACGGUGAAGCUAAUGGCAAGACUGAUGACGAAAUGAUUGAUCUCAACUCUAACCCUCAAAGACUACAUGAGCCAUCAUCAAAUAACCAUGGUAUCGAUGUAAAUAACACGAACAAUCACGAGACUCCAGGUGUUGUACCCUUUAAACGAGAGCCUGAGAAGUGAUAUAGGGCCUGGUGGGUGUAAGUCAUGUUUUUAUUGCUGGAGAAAGAAGGCAGAUAUGACACGUGGCAAAGAAGAGAUUAUGUGUGUGGGAGUACUAACCGCUGUCUUAACAAGCUCAUCGGCAUAGGAAGAAGCGGCACGGACGGUAAGGGAGGUGGCACGGUUGCUUAGGACAACGGCGGCGGAAGAUGGCUGACGGAAGAGAACGCUUUGGCCCUUGACCCACUCAGAUUUGU